Molecule: long non-coding RNA, 764 nt
Organism: Juglans regia (Persian walnut)
Lineage: Eukaryota; Viridiplantae; Streptophyta; Magnoliopsida; Fagales; Juglandaceae
Exons: 3
Source: RefSeq, a predicted model, not a curated record
CCCGGAUAUCGGAUUUAAAAUUCGGUACCCGGGCCUUACUUAAAAACACUCAUCCAUGAUAAAAACGACCAGUCGACCAGCCCCCCCUCCCAAGUCGUUUUAUGCUAGGGUUAAAAUCCAUCCCACCCCCUCCAAACCCUCCAACCGUCAUCUCUCAUCUCUCUCUCUCUCUCUCUCUCUCUCUCUCGCGAAAAUCCUAGCCUCUUGUCACUCUUCCUCUACCAAUCGAAGAUCUGUUCCUCGUGGCCAUCGUUUUCUAGUUUUUCGCUCCGUCAUCGACUUAUACUAUCCAAGGAGGUAAGAAGGGAUCACAUUCUUGCUGCUUGUAAGGACUCUGUGGCAAGUUUGUUCACGUUUGAUCUAACAAGUCAAUGUACACUAAAUGGGAGAUUCAAAAAAUUGUUAGUCUGCCACUGUUGCCUUACCACAUGUCUGCAGAUGUUCAUCUACAUCAAUGUCUUGCAAAUUAACCACAACAACAAUACCAGGAAGAUAUUUGAAGUAGAGGGGACAGAGAUCCAUCAAUCUUUGUUAGAUGAUGUGUUUCCGCUCACACCUAUCCAAUAAUCUUCUUCCAAAGCUGUGUUUUAUAAUUUAUAUAUUGUAAUUUUGUGUUUUGUAAUGUAAUGUAUAAAUACUAAAUAUUGUAAUAUGUAGUGAAUAUUGCAUUAUGUUGCAUGCAUUUUACAUUAUGAACAUUGUAUAUAUUUUCUUUUACAUGUAUUUAGUUAAAAAGUUAAAAAGGUAAUUAGUUUCUAACUUUA